Molecule: small RNA, 531 nt
Filed under: Pongo abelii (Sumatran orangutan)
Lineage: Eukaryota; Metazoa; Chordata; Mammalia; Primates; Hominidae
Description: retained intron
Source: RNAcentral
CAGACCCUUCCUGGAUAUGGUGUACCAUGCGCUGGACAGCCCAGAUGAUGAUUACCAUGCCCUGUUCGUGCUCUGCCUCCUCUAUGCCAUGUCUCAUAAUAAAGGCAUGGAUCCUGAAAAAUUAGAGCGAAUCCAGCUCCCUGUGCCAAAUGCGGCCGAGAAGACCACCUACAACCACCCACUGGCUGAAAGACUCAUCAGGAUCAUGAACAACGCUGCCCAGCCAGAUGGGAGGAUCCGGCUGGCGACGCUGGAGCUGAGCUGCCUGCUUCUGAAGCAGCAAGUCCUGACGAGUGCUGGCUGCAUCAUGAAGGACGUGCACCUGGCCUGCCUGGAGGGUGCGAGAGAAGAAAGUGUUCACCUUGUACGACAUUUUUAUAAGGUAAUUGGCAGAGCACAGAUGGACAGCAGCAUGGUGUGUCUUGUAGAAGCAGGAGUGUGGUGUCUGGUUCUAUGCAGAUAAACGUUAUAUGUCUUCAGUUAUUUUUUAUGCCUAUAAUUACUGAAUAAAAAUGCUCAAUUUAUAGUCUC